GCUCUCGCUCACCUUUAACCUGGCAUCAGGUAACGCGAGGUUUACGCUUGUAGGAGCUAACGGGCACGUUUAUCCUAAAUCAGGCACUUAAAGACGUAAAUAUGGAUAUAUAAUGGCGUAAUUGGCAGACACAACAAGACUUCCAGCAGAUCUGGCCUGGUAUCAGACGACAGACUGUGUGUUUCGGGAGGAGAAAGUGUCGAAAUUUCGACAGAAUGGCAAACUAGCAUUAGCGUUAGCUCUACAGCUAGCGCCCCGCUGGCGGCACCGCUGUCCCCUUUCUGCGGGACACGACAUCGUGUGUCGGCUCUUCUAAAUAGGCUCCUUCACUGAAACUACAUCAUGCAGAGAGCAGAUUUUGUCAAGACAGAGCACGUAUGUGGGAGUUGAAGGAUUCGAUACUUCAUAUACCCCUGAAACGUUUUGUGCUUGGUUCCUGGGUGGUGGCUGCAGUAGGUUGUUGUCUGAGGACCGGAGAAGUGAGCUAAGUGAGGAUCCUGGUUGAGGAGAAGGAGGACUUUGAACUGGAUGCGUUGUGGGAUGGGAAACCAGUGCAGGCUCUGGAGGACAGAGCUGACAUAGGUGGAAGGGCGAACGGGUCACCCGUCCAUCACAAGGCCGCAUAUACUGUAGAGACAAACAACC
Solea senegalensis (Senegalese sole) is the source of this 645-nucleotide long non-coding RNA. RefSeq lists it as uncharacterized. Lineage: Eukaryota; Metazoa; Chordata; Actinopteri; Pleuronectiformes; Soleidae. The transcript has 4 exons. The record is from RefSeq and is a predicted model, not a curated record.